RNAcentral lists this transfer RNA (74 nucleotides) under Camelus bactrianus (Bactrian camel). It matches the Rfam family "tRNA". Rfam says of the family: Transfer RNA (tRNA) molecules are approximately 80 nucleotides in length. Their secondary structure includes four short double-helical elements and three loops (D, anti-codon, and T loops). Lineage: Eukaryota; Metazoa; Chordata; Mammalia; Artiodactyla; Camelidae. RNAcentral also lists the same sequence under 1 other name. The record is from Rfam by way of RNAcentral.
GAGGGUGUAGCUCAAAGUAGCAGAGCACAAGCUUAGCAUGCAAGGGGUCCUGGGUUCCAUCCCCAGCACCUCCU